RNAcentral lists this ribosomal RNA (598 nucleotides) under uncultured Methylibium sp. RNAcentral's name for it is "bacterial SSU rRNA". It matches the Rfam family "Bacterial small subunit ribosomal RNA", at positions 917 to 1519 of the family's 1533-position model. The record is from RNAcentral. Lineage: Bacteria; Pseudomonadati; Pseudomonadota; Betaproteobacteria; Burkholderiales; Sphaerotilaceae.
GGACCCGCACAAGCGGUGGAUGAUGUGGUUUAAUUCGAUGCAACGCGAAAAACCUUACCUACCCUUGACAUGCUAGGAAUCCCGCAGAGAUGUGGGAGUGCUCGAAAGAGAACCUGGACACAGGUGCUGCAUGGCCGUCGUCAGCUCGUGUCGUGAGAUGUUGGGUUAAGUCCCGCAACGAGCGCAACCCUUAUCAUUAGUUGCUACGCAAGGGCACUCUAAUGAGACUGCCGGUGACAAACCGGAGGAAGGUGGGGAUGACGUCAGGUCAUCAUGGCCCUUAUGGGUAGGGCUACACACGUCAUACAAUGGCCGGUACAGAGGGCUGCCAACCCGCGAGGGGGAGCUAAUCUCAGAAAACCGGUCGUAGUCCGGAUCGCAGUCUGCAACUCGACUGCGUGAAGUCGGAAUCGCUAGUAAUCGCGGAUCAGCUUGCCGCGGUGAAUACGUUCCCGGGUCUUGUACACACCGCCCGUCACACCAUGGGAGCGGGUUCUGCCAGAAGUAGUUAGCCUAACCGCAAGGGGGGCGAUUACCACGGCAGGGUUCGUGACUGGGGUGAAGUCGUAACAAGGUAGCCGUAUCGGAAGGUGCGGCU